AGAGACUAAAAUCUGAAAAAUGCUGCUUAAAUGAAAGAAGAAACAAAGAUCGAAUACAAUUCCAGAAAAUUGUUGAGCUUAAUAGACUCACAGAUGCUUGUGUAAACAGAGGAGACGUUUAGAAGUAUCAGAGAACAGAUCAAAAGUUUUUCCAAACCAAAAGUCGAAGGCAAUUUACAUCUGCUUGAGAAAUUACAUUUGAAAAUUCUCUUUAAUUGAUUUAAUUAAUUAUGAUCGAAUUGAUUUGCAUAGGCUAAUGAAAAUUUAACUGUAAA
Molecule: long non-coding RNA, 275 nt
Organism: Xenia sp. Carnegie-2017
Lineage: Eukaryota; Metazoa; Cnidaria; Anthozoa; Malacalcyonacea; Xeniidae
Exons: 2
Source: RefSeq, a predicted model, not a curated record